AUGACAUGUGUCGACCGCAAGAGGCUGCCAUGUUUCGACCCCGUGUCCAAGGUGCUCGAUGAUGACAAUCUCCUCAUCGAGAUCAUCGUCCGCCUUGGCUUCCCAACCACCCUCGUCCGCGCCUCCCUCGUCUGCAAGCGGUGGUUCCGCCACGCCUCAGACCCCGCCUUCCUCUGCCGAUUCCGCAAACUGCACCCUCCUCGCCCCCUCGGCUUCUACAUCGAGUACAACCACCGCCUGUUCUUCAUGCUGCCUCAGCCCCCGGAGCUCGCCGCCGUCGCUCGCCGUGCGGCAAGCUACAGAUUUGAUGCUUGUCCCAAUGCAUGGAUCAAUGGCUGCCACAAUGGCCGUAUCCUGAUCAGGUUCAAUUAUAAAUCUACCUUUGGGGCUGGACCGUCCUCGUCGACACGGCGAAUACUAUUCGGUGUGGUCUGCUCCCCACUGUGCCCCGAGAGAGUGGUGUCCAUCGUCCGACAGCCCCCUCGUGAACCCAAGAACAGUAGGAGCUUCACCUUCUUCAAACAAGAUGGCCAAGGCUUGUACCACUUCUGGUUCUUACAGGACCAGGAAAAAAUUGUGGCACGCCUUUAUAUAUAUGUUUAA
RNAcentral lists this ribosomal RNA (603 nucleotides) under Triticum aestivum (bread wheat). RNAcentral's name for it is "partial small subunit ribosomal RNA". Lineage: Eukaryota; Viridiplantae; Streptophyta; Magnoliopsida; Poales; Poaceae. The record is from RNAcentral.